RNAcentral lists this long non-coding RNA (25480 nucleotides) under Triticum aestivum (bread wheat). RNAcentral's name for it is "long non-coding RNA (TAES_LNC021879)". Lineage: Eukaryota; Viridiplantae; Streptophyta; Magnoliopsida; Poales; Poaceae. The record is from RNAcentral.
UAGCAUGCAACAGUUAUAUGCAUCAUUUGACUGGCUGUGGGGUUGUACAGUUAAAAGCUUAGUAUUUUUGCUCAUACAAGGAACAGAUUCAGUUCAAUUAAUUUAGCUCUAAUGGCGGUAUCAGUAAAACGUGGAAGUGUGCAGUUUUGUUGUACAUACUCCCCUAUUUGUACCAGUUCAGUUAAUUCAACUCUAAUUACGUUAUGUGUAAAACAUGGAAGAGUUGUUCGCUGGGGUUCUUUUCCCCUCUCCUUUAAUGCAUAAUAGGCAUACUCGGGCGUAUUCUAGAAAACAAAAUAUAUACUCCCCUAUAUAUGCCCUUCUUACCCUUUCUUAAAAAUAACUUGAUAUGUACAAGCAAAUAAUUACUUCCUGUAGAUCUCCUUCCAUGUGUUAUUUACUUGCUCUUUUUUCCUUUCACUUCUCUUGACCUAUUUUUUGGUGCACUGACAUGGUGUCUUCAGUGGAAAAUUCUGAUGCUUCUAUGCUUUUAUGACUGCAUAAUAUUUUAAAUAUGAUUUAACAUAUGUUCUUUUCUCAUGGAAAAUCAAGUUAUAAGUAGCUUAAAUGCUUAUUGUUGUUGGCUUGAGAUCUAUGGGUUCUCUCUUAGUAAUUAAGCACAUCAACUUCUUCGAUUGAGAGAAGGAUCCAUGUUUCCAUGUUCUUUCUGAAGUUAAAUUGGCAUUACAAAUUUUGUGAUCAAUAGCUUUUAGAAUAAAAAGGUUGCUCAAGCUACUCUUCAUCAACUUUGCACAUAUCACGGUAUAGUCAUCGACGACCGUGUAAACUAGAGGAAUUUGAAGAAUAUUGUAUGCAUGUAUUACAACCCAUAGGGCGCAUAUAUAUAGAGCUACAGAGCAAUCCUAUACUUGUCCUCCAAGAGCUAAUCCUAGUUAAAAGGAAAGGAUAGAUAUGGAGGUAGAGAUAGGAAGCUAAAGAUUACAUCACGUAUAUAUGCUAAUACAUGCUAACUUAUUCUUACACCCCCCCGCAGUUGAAGCGUCCUCAGAGUAGAUGCCAAGACUCGAUCGAAAAGCUUCAAAUGAAGAAGUAGGAAGCCCCUUGGUCAUGAUGUCUGCAAGUUGAUGAGUUGUUGGGACGUGAACAACACGAAACUGCCCCAAAGCCACCUUCUCGCGUACAAAAUGAAUGUCUAACUCAAUGUGCUUCGUUCGACGAUGAUGAACGGGGUUAACAGAGAGGUAUACCGCAGAGAUAUUAUCACAGAACACCACGGAAGCCUUGUCAACGACACAAUGGAGCUCGACAAGAAGUUGACGAAGCCAGCAACAUUCGGCCACGGCAUUGGCCACCGCACGGUAUUCGGCUUCAGCACUUGAGCGAGAGACAGUAGGUUGGCGUUUGGAAGACCAAGACACCAAAGUGUCUCCGAGAUAAAUGCAAUAUCCUGAAGUAGACCGGCGAGUAUCCGGACAGCCAGCCCAAUCAGCAUCCGAAUAAGCAGCAAUGGCGAUGGAGGAACUACUAGUGAUCCGAACCUCGUGGGAAGUAGUGCCUCGAAGAUAGCGAAGUAAGCGCUUGAUCAAUCCCCAAUGAACAUCACGCGGAGCAUGCAUAUGCAAACAAAUCUGCUGGACAGCAUAGGCGAUGUCUGGGUGUGUCAAGGUGAGGUAUUGAAGAGCACCGGCAAUACUUCGGUAGAAGGUGGCAUCCGACACAAGCUCACCAGAGGUAGCCGAGACCUUGGGCUUCGUGUCAACAGGCGUGGAGACCGGCUUACAAUUAGACAUAGCAGCGCGGUCAAGAAGCUCCUUGGCAUAUCUCUCUUGAGAGAGAAAGAAACCAGAGGCUGUGCGACGAACGGCGACACCAAGAAAAAAAUGAAGAGACCCGAGAUCCUUCAUCUUGAAUUCAGUGCUGAGAGAAGCGAUGAUCAUCCGAAGAAACGGUGUCGAGGAAGCUGUGACACUAGUGCAGAACCGGGCAAUAGCGCCGGUUCGUAAGGCCCUUUAGUGCCGGUUCCAUAACCGACACUAAAGUGUGGGCACUAAAGGCCCCCCCCCCCCUUUAGUACCGGUUCAGCACGAACCGGUGNNNNNNNNNNNNNNNNNNNNNNNNNNNNNNNNNNNNNNNNNNNNNNNNNNNNNNNNNNNNNNNNNNNNNNNNNNNNNNNNNNNNNNNNCAUUUAAUUUUGUGUUUCCAUUUUAAUUCUUUUUCGUUUGCUGGUAUUUCACGAUACUAUACAUUGUACACGUUAUGCAUAUAUAUAUAUAUACAUACAUAUAUAUAUAUAUACAUAUACAUAUAUGUAUAUAUAUAUAUAUAAAUAGAAUUUCUAGUAGAACCAAUCAUGCAUAUAUAUAUAUCAUCAAUGUCUCACAAACCAUCAUAUUAAUUAAUUCACACAUACACACAUGUAUAGCUAUAUACAAUUUCUCCUACAUAUGCAUGUUGCCUUCGGAGCCAGUGGCAUUAGCCUAAUUGGUGCCUUCGGAGCACGAUGACAAUUGGAAGUGGUUUUCAUGGGGGCGGUAGCGGGUAAUAGUAUUCUCCCUUCGGAUUUAUGACCUGGUCGAGCAAAAAUCCCGCUAUUUCCUCUUGAAGUGCUUCUACGCGCUCCGUUUCUAGGAGCUUCGCCCGCACCUCUCUGAACUGUUAAGGAGGAGAUCAAUAUGCAUGUGUAUUAGUUGUGUGACUAGAUAUCGAUAAUGGUGUAAAAAUUGUGAAUAGUGUUUUGACAAGCAUAUCCAUUCCUGUCUUUGAGAUCUGCUCCUUUCGGACGCCAUCAUGCGAAUGCUCUCGCAAACGCAGAAUGCACACAGAUCAGUCCCCUGCGCCUGCUUCAGGGCCUUUACGAGAAUGGAAUUUGAUCAGAUAAUAAUUAAUCAAGCAUGAUAAUUAAAGAGAUGGCAGCUAGCUAGCUAGCUAGUACUACUUAAUUACUUACCUUGGGUCUUCCCCAUUUAAGCUUUUCUUUCCAUUCGCCGUCCGUGACCCUGAUGAACCUUGCCCAAGCCCUGCCCGCCGAAAAAGAAAAUGAAUAAAGGGGUUAUUAAAUAGUUCAUAUCAUGAAAUGAUGAACUAAAUAGGCCGAGAUAUAUAGUUAAUAAUGAUUGAAAUUACCUGUUGACUAUCCCAAACAAGAUGUUAUAGUCAGUUUUUUCUUUGAGUAGUGAAUCCAGUAUUUCAACUGUUCCGGCGUCAACUUUAAUGAUACACAAGACCCAGUGAUAUCUGCAUGCACACACGUUUGCAUGUCUUAAUUAAGCGGGCAUAUGUAAGCAAAAACAUGUAGCUAGCUAGUAGGCAAAAACAGAGAAUUUGUAGUACAAGACAGUGUGACUCACUGGAAGUUGUAAGGAAGUAGUAUAUAUUCAUUGUAUUUGAGGCGCUUCAAGAACUCUAGCAUGCUGUCCUCUACGGCCUUUUGAUGACGUUCAUCUAUUUUCCAUGUGUAUUCAUUAACGGUGUUUGGGUCAAUGAACCCAAUGCCAUAGUGUCUACCUUUUCUCAUUUCAUACAUCUUCAUCCUGCAUAUAAUACCACAGAAAAGAAUAUAGUAAGGAUAAUUACAGUUAAUGAUAAGGAUCACUACAGCUAGCUUGAGACUUAAAUUACAGAAAGAAAUCACUUAUAGACAAUAGCAACUGACGAGAGAUUUGUCAAGUGCGUCUUGAUUGUAUAACUGAAACAGUUCAGAAUACUCAACGGACACAGCUUUCUCAUGGUAGUAAUGAUCCUUCUUGACAUUCACCAUGAGGGACAAUCGAUCGGAAAUCUUGGUAAUGUUCAUCUACCAUUGAUGCAAUUCAUACAUUCUCGUUGGGAGGUUCUUGACCUUGUCUGGCUCGACCAAAGGUUGGCCCCGGACAUAUUUUCGUUUUAUUUCAUCCUCUCUAAGCAUAGGCAUGGGCUCGAUCUCGAGGAGUUGUCCAACAGUGAUUUUGAGAACUUUAGCCUGCAUUAUAUGCUCCUCCGUUAUUACCACAUUUCCCACCUUAGGAACAUAAACUGUUUGCCCACAAUAAUAUUGGGCGCGCGUACUGUCACGUGUUGUUGGCACAACAAGCGAGGGGAUCGAUUGCACCGCCUGUUCUCCCAGCUGGGGAAUGGUUUUCCCGCAUUUUUUGUAAGCUGCUUCUUGUUUGCUCGAUCUCGAGCUCGCCUCCUUACGUACACGUGCUCGAUUUAACUUCCUGAUGUGGCACUCAUAGUCUGUGUCAACAGGCUCGGGAGCUGGUGGUUGAGCCAUACGAAUGAAGUGGUCAAUCGUUUCCUCAGGCACUUUCUCCCUUAGCGGUGUUGGCGGUUUCGGUGCAAAAUGGGCUUCCACCUCGGACUUGGAUAUGGCUGCGAUUUCCUCCUCGGACCUGUCAUAAGCCCUCUACGGAAGAGGCGUGAGGCUUGGACCAUAUUUAUAUCGUUUGCCUCCGCCUGUACUUCCUGUACUACCUCGACUCGUACCGCUACGCACCAUAGCUGCGGGGUGUCUCUUUUGUGAUUGCUGAGGCGGCGGAGACGGCUGACGGGGCUGAGUUGGACGAGGAGGAGUGGCCGUCUGAAGCUGUGCCGGACUUGGAGGAGGAGUGGCCUGAGCUUGUGCCAGACUUGGAGGAGGAGUGGAUGUCUGACGCUGUGGCGGACUUGGAGGAGGAGGAGUGGCCUGACACUUUGCCGGACUUGGAGGAGGAGUGGCCUGACACUUUGCCGGACUUGGUAGACUUGCAGGAGCGGGAGACUGCUGACUCGGUGGCGGACUUCGACAAGGAGUCGGCUGACGCGGUGUUGGUGGACUUCGAAUGAUGAUGCAAUCCUUUUUCCAUAGGAUGAUACGAUGUUUGGCGUCUCCGAGAAAGCGCUCGUCGUCACCUCCAGGAUAGUCAAGCUCUAGCUCCGAAUAUGGGUCCACCACCUCAUCAACCAAGACACGAGCAUAGCCCGCUGGAAUCGGGUUGCAAUGGAAGGUUGCCUCGGGGGGAUUUGUAAAAGCAACGGCGUCCGCCACCUUCAUGGAUAUGUUCUUCAUUUUGACGUGUAGCUCGCAGCUAGUGUUCUCCGUGAUGUCAUCCACGGGGUAUCUACCCAGCAUUGCGUCGUCCGGGGUGAAACCCACACUGCUUCUCGGCAUGGAUGGGGCGGUGCUAUCCAAUGCUGGAUCAUUCGCUAGCUGCUGCAGCUGCUGAGACCCCCUUUGCUGGGUAAGUGAGUCGAUCUGCUCCUACUGCCGCUGGAAUUUGACUACCAAUUCCGCUUGACUUGCUUCUACGCCUUGAAGGCGUUCAUAGUCCCGCUUCCUCUGCUCCUCCUCCAUCUUCCUCUUCUUCUCCUCCGCAAUCUUCUUUCUCGCCCGGGUUCUGUAGUCGGUGUUCCAGUCUGAGAACCCCUCAUACCAUGGAAUAGCGCCCUUGCCUCGUGUUCUUCCCGGGUGUUCAGGAUUUCCCAGGGCAUGCGUAAGCUCGUCGUUCUCUCUGUUGGGCUGAAACACCCCCGAUCGUGCCUCUUCUAUUGCAACAAGUAUCGCAUCGUCGGCUCCCUUCAGACUUGCCCUCGUCGAAACAUUGCCUGUCUUUGGGUCCAACUCCCCCCCAUGCGCAUAGAACCAAGUCCUGACCUUGGGGGGCUAGCUCUUAGUAACCGGAGUGGCACCUGCAUCCUCCAUCUCUUUCUCAGACUUAUCCCACUUAGGCAUUGCCACCGCAUAGCCACCUGGCCCCAGCUUAUGGAACUUAUCCUUUUUUUCAGCAUUCUUCUUGUUUAUUCUCGACCGUUCCUUAGCUAAUUCCGAAUCCUUGAAUUUCACGAAAUCGUCCCAAUGAGCAUGUUGAUUCUCUAGUGUUCCCUCGAAUACUGGAGUCUUCCUUCCUCCCUUGACGUACUUGUCCCAUUCACGAUUCUUGUGGUUCUUGAAUGCAACCUCCAUCUUCCUAAGAGCAGCGUCCUUGACUUUCUGCACAUAUGCUUCAGUGAAAUGAUCUGGUAGGGUGAAAUGUUCCAUGAGAGUAUCCCAAAGCAGAUCUUUUUGAUUCUUGUCGACAAAAGUAACAUCUGAACGUGGAGCAGCGUCCUCUUUGCCUUUUUGUCUUUUGUCUUUUGCUGGCUGUCUCCAUUCUUGAAGGGAGAUCGGGAGUUGGUCCUUCACAAGAACUCCGCACUGACGAAUGAACUUGUCCGCAAUCUUCUUAGGUGCUAAUGGUUCGCCAUUAGGUCUGACUGCCUCGAUAUUGUACUUUACGCCCUCCUUCAACUUUUUGUUCGGGCCUCGUUUCGUCCUUUUGCCUGAAGAUUUGCUCGAUCCGGAUGGAUGAAAGAACAAAGAUCGAUUCAUUAAUAUAUCUUCAAGUCAUUUAAAACAUGUGAUGAUCACCGGAUACCUGCUUAUAUAAAUAUAUAUACCUCGCCGGUCUUUGUUGUUUCAGGAUCAACAUGUUCUUCGUCAUCGUCAUAAUCGUAGUUCACGACUUCAUCAAUUCGGUCGUCGCGAUCAAAUAUCAUAUCACCCUCUCCGGUGUUGUUUAGAAAUUUGGAGCCUUCAUAAUCUUCUUCAUUCUGAUCAUCAUUUGGCCCGUGUAUCAUAUCGAACAUGGUCUGUUCUCCCUCUCUGUCGGUAUUGUCUGCCAUAGCUUUUAUUUAACUAAUUCAAAAGAAAUAUAAAACAAUUUAGUAUUCAAAUUACAUCGUCUCGAAUAAUAGAUAUAAUCUCGAAUACUUCGUCUAGAAUAAUAGAUAUAAUCUCGAAUACAUCAUCUCAAAUAAUAUAUAAUAUUGAAUAGUACAUCACUAGCUAGCUAAUUAAAGAUCGAAUACUACAGAAGAAUCUAGGACACUCGCAGUUCCUACGGCGCGGGCGGUGGACACCCAAAGAGAAGGAACCCUCACAGGAUCAUAGCUGAAGUGAGAUCCCCGAAGAUACUGCCAGGUAUUGGAGAACCUGCCGCCCUCUAACGCAACCAUGUAGCGAUGGACGUGCUCGUCCUCCUCCCUAACACGGCGACGUACCACCUCCGGCGGGGCCGGGUCCCUCCGCACCGAAACUGGCCCACGCGAACGCCACCAAAUGAGAUCAGGGUCGACGACGGGACCCGGGGCCGGGUUCCUCAUCAAGCGGCGCGCCCCUCCAGGCAGCACCUCCCAGUGCCAGCCCGGCGGAGCCCAGUCUCAGACAUGGGUCGGCUGGACGUCGUCGCGGACGGAUCGACGGCGAGGAUGCGGGCCGGGCAUCGUCGAGAACAAAUACUAGCUAUAUGCCCGCAAAAAGUAACAUUUUUUUAAUGAUUGGAUUUUGAUAACUAAAAUUUCUAACAUUUCUAUAUAACACUAAUUAUGCUAAUCUAAAUAAUCUAAAUAACACUAAAAUUUCUAACAUUUCUAACAUUUCUAUAUAACACUAAUUUCUAACAUUUCUAUAUAACACUAAUUUCUAACUGAUUAAACACUAAUUAUAUCCAUCUAACAUGCAUUCAUACAUAUAUAAUAGUGAAAAAAUAAUAAUCUAAAUAAUCUAAACUAAUUAAACAUACAAAAUACGUGUGUGUGUUUACUAAUUAAACACUAAUUAUCUAAACUAAUUAAACAUACAAAAUAAUAAUCUAAAUAAUCUAAACUAAAUAAAGACUAAUUAUCUAAACUAAUUAAACAUGCUUGUGUGUGUGUGUGUACGGGCUCGGGGAGGGCUCACAGCGGGUGACGGCGACGACGAGGCGACGGCGAGGCGACGGCGAGGCGAUGGCGAGGCAGGCGACGGGGACGGCGAGGCGACGGCGGGGACGGCGUGACGGGGACGGGGACGGCGCGACGGGGACGGGCCCGGGGCGGCGACGGAGACGAGGGCGGCGAUGGGGACGGGGGCGGCGACGGGGACGGGCAGCGACGGAGACAAUCGAGGGCGGCAGCGACGUCGACGGAGACGGAAACAGAGGAAUGAACAGAGAGGGAAACUGAAAUUUUCGUAGCCGUUGUAUAUAUAGAAGGCACCUUUAGUACCGGUUGGAACCACCAACCGGUACUAAAGGCUUGUUUUGGCCAGGCCAAGCGGCGGGAAGCGACCCCCUUUAGUACCGGGUGGUGGCACACACCGGUACUAAAGGCCCCCCCUUUAGUACCGGUUUGUGCCACGACCAGGUACUAAAGGGGGUGCGCUGGCGCAGGUGCGGUGCGGCAACUUUAGUCCCACCUCGCUAGCCGAGGGGCGACCGCACUGGUUUAUAAACCCCCAUGCGGUCGCUCUCUCGAGCUCCUCUCCAAAGCAGGCUUACUGGGCCUACGUGUUCUUUGCAGCCCUGUGGGCCCACUUGGCCUUUGCGGGCCUGCAUCCUGGCCCAACGACAGGUUGGGUUUCUAGUCGUACGCAGACCGCUCUGGCCUAGUAAGCGGGCUAAUUUUAUUUUAUUUUUUGCUUUAUUUAUUUUUGUGUUGUUUUUUUUGUGUAUUUAGAGUUUCUUUGUGAACAUUUUUGUUUUAGGUACAAAAAAUUACAAACUUUCUGUUAGGGUUUUUUUUAUUAUUUUUUUGCUUUAUUUAUUUUUGUGUUUUUUUGUGUAUUUAGAGUUUCUUUGUGAACAUUUUUGUUUUAGGUACAAAAAAUUACAAACUUUCUGUUAGUGCCCGUAGUUUUCAAAUUUGAAUAGUUUAAAUUUUGAAUUAUUUGAAAUUAGUGUGAAUCACUAGUUUGUGAAUAACUUAACUUUAAAAAUCAGUAAAGGCAUGAAAGAAUUUGUUUUCACAUAAAAUUUCUUCGCGUUUCAAAUGCCAAAACACAUAACUACCCUAACUAUUAUAGAGAUUCCCCUCUCGGUGCGAAACACAGAAGAAAGUGAUGAUAGCUAGUGAAGCCGAUCACAUCCCAGAUCUUUGGGUGUGAAACUUUUUCUUCGCGUGUGUCCCUUUGCGCCGUAACCACGGAAAAUCUUCAUCACUUAACGGGAUGCUCGGGUCAAUAUUCACUGUGAAUGGAGCAAUUUCAUCAAACUUUUCAUAAUCUUUUGACUUGUCUGUCUUGUCAUCCACUCCCACGAUGUUUCUCUUCCCAGAAAGAACUAUGUGCCGCUUUGGCUCAUCGUACGAUGCAUUCGCUUCCUUAUCUUUUCUUUUUCUUGGCUUGGUAGACAUGUCCUUCACAUAGAAAACCUGUGCCACAUCAUUGGCUAGGACGAAUGGUUCUUCUGCAUACGCAAGAUUGUUGAGAUCCACUGCUGUCAUUCCGUACUGCGGGUCUUCCGUUACCCCGCCUCGUGUCAUAUUGACCCAUUUGCACCGAAACAAAGGGACCUUUAAACCACGUCGAUAGUCAAGUUCCCAUAUGUCAUGUAUAUAACCAUAAUAUGUUUCCUUUCCCGUCUUGGUUUCUGCAUCAAAGUGGACACCACUGUUUUGGUUGGUGCUCUUCUUAUCUUGGGCGAUCGUGUAAAAUGUAUUACCAUUUAUCCCGUACCCUUUGAAAGUCAUUAUAUUCGAAGAUGAUAACUGGGACAGCAAGUACAGGUCAUCUUCAAUAGAGGUGUCAUGCAUGGUACGUGUCUGCAACCAGCUGGCGAAACUCCUGGUUUGUUCACGUGUAAUCCAGUCAUCAGACCGCUCCGAGUGUUUGGAGCGUAGCAAAUUCUUGUGUUCAUCCAUAUACGGAGCCACCAAGGCGGAAUUCUGUAGAACUGUGUAGUGUGCUUCAGUGAGAGAAUGUCCGUCCAUACAUAUUAUUUGUUCCCCUCCUAGCGUGCCUUUUCCAUCCAGUCUGCCCUUAUGCCGCGAUUCAGGAACACCAAUCGGAUUAAGGUCAGGAAUAAAGUCAAUACAAAACUCAAUGACCUCCUCAUUUUGAUGGCCCUUGGAGAUGCUUCCUUCUGGCCUAGCACGAUUAUGAACAUAUUUCUUUAAGACUCCCAUGAACCUCUCAAAGGGGAACAUAUUGUGUAGAAAUACAGGACCCAAAACGUUAAUCUCUUGGCACAGGUGAACUAGGACGUGUGUCAUGAUGUUGAAGAAGGAUGGUGGGAACACCAACUCGAAACUGACAAGACAUUGCACCAAAUCAUUCUAUAACCUUGGUAUGAUUUCUGGAUCGAUUACCUUCUGAGAGAUUGCAUUGAGAAAUGCACAUAGCUUCACAAUGGCUAAUCGAACGGUUUCCGGUAGAAGCCCCCUCAAUGCAACCGGAAGCAGUUGCGUCAUAAUCACGUGGCAGUCAUGAGACUUUAGGUUCUGGAACUUUUUCUCUGCCAUGUUUAUUAUUCCCUUUAUAUUCGACGAGAAGCCAGACGGUACCUUAAUACUGAGCAGGCAUUCAAAGAAGAUUUCCUUCUCUUCUUUGGUAAGAGCGUAGCUUGCAUGACCCUGAUGUAUGCCGUCUUCUCCGUGCAUACGUUGCUGGUCCUCCCGUGCCUCAGGUGUAUCUUUUAUCUUCCCAUACACGCCCAAGAAGCCAAGCAGGGUCACGCAAAGAUUCUUCGUCACGUGCAUCACGUCGAUUGCGGAGCGGACCUCUAGGUCUUUCCAAUAUGGCAGGUCCCAAAAUAUAGAUUUCUUCUUCCACAUGGGUGCGCGUCCGUCAGCGUCCUUUGGAACAGAUUGUCCGCCAGGACCCUUUCCAAAUAUCACCUUCAAAUCCUUGACCAUAUCAUGUACAUCAGCACCAGUACGGUGGCGAGGCUUCGUCCGGUGAUCCGCCUCACCUUUGAAAUGCUUGCCUUUCUUUCUUACGGGAUGCCUGCUCGGAAGAAAUCGACGAUGUCCCAGGUACACAUUCUUCUUACAACUAUUUAAAUAUAUACUGUCGGUAUCAUUCAAACAGUGCAUGCAUCUGUGGUAUCCCUUGUUUGUCUGUCCUGAAAGGUUACUGAGAGCAGGCCAAUCAUUGAUGGUCACGAACAGCAAUGGCUUUAGGUCAAAUUCUUCCUGUUUGUGCUCAUCCCAUGCACGUACACCUGUUCCAUUCCACAGUUGUAAGAGUUCUUCAACUAAUGGCCUUAGAUACACAUCAAUGUCAUUGCCGGGUUGUUUAGGGCCUUGGAUGAGCACUGGCAUCAUAAUGAACUUCCGCUUCAUGCACAACCAAGGAGGAAGGUUAUACAAACAUAGAGUCACAGGCCAGGUGCUAUGGUUGCUGCUCUGCUCCCCAAAAGGAUUAAUGCCAUCUGCGCUUAGACCAAACCAUACGCUCCUUGUGUCAUCUGCAAACUCCUUCCCAUACUUUUUUUUGAUUUUUCUCGACUGCGACCCGUCAGCGGGUACUCUCAACUUUCCGUCUUUCUUACGGUCUUCUCUGUGCCAUCGCAUCGCCUUGGCAUGCUCUUUGUUUUGGAACAAACGUUUCAACCGUGGUAUUAUAGGAGAAUACCACAUCACCUUGGCAGGAAUCUUCUUCUUGGGGCGCUCGCCCUCGACAUCACCAUGUUCAUCGCAGCUGAUCUUAUAGCGCAAUGCACCACAUACCGGGCAAGCGUUCAAAUCCUCGUACUCACCGCGGUAGAGGAUGCAAUCAUUAGGGCAUGCAUGUAUCCUCUGCACCUCUAACCCUAGAGGGCAGACAUCCUUCUUUGCUUCGUACGUACUCUCGGGCAAUUCGUUGUCCUUUGGAAGCAUAUCCUUUAUCAUUACCAACAACUUUCCAAAUCCCUUGUCAGACACACCAUUCUCUGCCUUCCAUUGCAGCAAUUCCAGUGUGGUGCCCAGCUUUUUCUUGUCACCUACGCAAUUCGGGUACAACAAUUUUUUGUGAUCCUCUAACAUGCGCUGCAACUUCUUCUCCAAAUCACUUGCGCAGUUUCUCUUUGCAUUGGCAAUGGCCCGACCUAGAUCAUCAACGGGCUCAUCUGAUGCCUCUUCUUCAGCUUCUUCCCGCAUUGUCGGCUCAGCUUCUUCCCGCAUUACCGGCUCAGCUUCUUCCCCCAUUGUUGUAUCAUCGUAUUCAGGGAACCCAUGGCCAGGAUAGCUGUCGUCGUCCUCUUCCUCUUCAUUGUCUUCCAUCAUAACCCCUCUUUCUCCGUGCUUGGUCCAAACAUUAUAGUGGGGCAUGAAACCGGACUCAAACAGGUGAUGUGAAUGGUUCUUGACGUAGAGUCAUUGCGACCAUUCUUACAGCCAGCACAUGGACAAGGCAUAAAACCAUCCGCCCGCUUGUUUGCCUCAGCCGCAAGCAAAAAAGUAUGCACGCCCUCAACGAACUGGGGAGAGCAUCGGUCAUCGUACAUCCAUUGCCGGCUCAUCUUCAUUACACAACACCGAAUAGACCAAAUUAAUACAAGGUCAUACAUAAAGUUCAUACAACACUUAAAUGCAACAAACAAAUAACUCUCUAGCUAAAGCAUUUAAAUGCAACAACAAAUGCGAUCAAGAUCACAACUAAGGUAAGAAUUGAUCCAACAGCAUAAUGAUACCAAGCCUCACAAUCGAUGGCAUAUUUUCUAAUCAUUUUAAUCUUCAAGCGCAUUUUCUCCUUCUUGAUCUUGUGAUCAUCGAUGACAUCGGCAACAUGCAACUCCAAUUCCAUCUUCUCCCCCUCAAUUCUUUUCAAUUUUUCUUUCAAGUACUCGUUUUCUCUUUCAACUAAAUUUAACCUCUCGACAAUAGGGUCGCUUGGAAUUUCCGGUUCACAUACCUCCUAGAUAAAAAUAUCUAUGUCAACUUGAUGGGCAUAAUUUGUCAUAAACACGAAAUGCAACAAAUAGUUUUAAAAGAGAAUAUACCACAUCCGAAUCAUAACAAGGACGAGGGCCGACGGGGACGGAUAUCAAAACCAUGGCACUAUGUAUAACAAACAACGUACGGGUAAGAUAAUUAUUAUACGAGUAACUAUAUAUCCAAAUCACACAAACAUCAAUUUUUUAUAUAAAAUUUCAUGAACAAGAGGCUCACCACAAGGUGGUGCCGGCGACGGGACGGUGCGGGCGAUCGACGGUGGUUACGACGGAGAUUUAGAAGGCACUAAGUAAACCACACCUACAUAUGCAAACUAAGUGUUAUUUUAACCUCAAAUUGCAUAUAAAUCAAAUACUAGCACAUAUAUAUAUUUCCUCCCAAAUUAAUAACUAUAUAAAGCAUUGCAAGAGCUAAUAUAGCAAUGAGAGAUGAAAGGACAAAGUUGCUAACCUUUGUGAUCAUUUGAAUGGAUGGGGGCCUUCAAAUGUUGACAAAUUUUGGGCAAAAUGUGUGAUGAGCUCGAGAGGAAGAGGGGAAGAACAGAGAGGAGAGGGGAAAGGGGAAGAACAGAGCGAGCUCGGGUGGACGAAGGGUUUAUGUAGGACGACCUUUAGUACCGGUUCGUGCCAAGAACCGGUACUAAAGGUGCUGGAGGGGGCCCAGACUGACAACAUCCUGCCACCACUCUCAUUAGUACCGGUUCGUGGCACGAACCAGUGCUAAAGGUUAGCCACGAACCGGUACUAAUGAGAGCGGCCCGACUAGCCGUUGGAACCAGCACUAAUGUAUACAUUUGUGCCGGCUCAAAUACAAACCGGCACUAAUGUGCUUCACGUUUGACCCUUUUUCUACUAGUGUGAGUACAAUGUCAUCAACAUAAAGGAGCAAGUAAGCCAUGUCGGAGCCACGACGGAGCACAAAGAGCGAGGUGUCUGAAAGAGCCGCAGUGAAACCAAGGUGCCGAAGAAAAUCACCAAUGCGUGUGUACCAGGCGCGUGGGGCCUGUUUCAAUCCAUAAAGUGACUUGGACAGUAGGCAAACAUGCUCGGGAUGGUCAGCAUCGAUGAAACCCGUCGGUUGAGCACAAUAAACACGCUCAUGCAAAACUCCAUGAAGAAACGCAUUGGAUACGUCCAGCUGACGUACCGGCCAAUGUCGAGAAGCAGCAAGAUGCAAAACUGUGCGAAUUGUGGCUGGUUUGACGACAGGACUGAAAGUCUCACCAAAAUCAAUGCCGGCACGCUGUGUGAAUCCUCGAACGACCCAACGAGCUUUAUAGCGAUCCAAGGAACCAUCAGGUUUGAGUUUAUGUCGAAAGACCCAUUUACCGGUGACGAUGUUGGCACCCCGAGGUCGAGGGACAAGAGUCCAUGUGUGAUUAGCUUGGAGAGCAUCAUACUCCUCUCGCAUGGCAGAAUGCCAUGCGGGAUCAUGAAGUGCCGCACGGGCAGACGUCGGUAGCGGCGAGAGCACAAUAGUAGCCGUAUGAGCAUCCUCAAAACGCCUGUUAGGCUGAAGAACGCCAUGACGCGCACGUGUAGUCAUUGUGUGGAUUGGCACAUCAGAGGGACGGAGCCAUGGAGCAGCACGUGGGGGUACCACCGAAGCUGGCGGCGGCAUAGGUGCGGCAAGCUCAAUGGCAGGGCCGGAGGACACCACAGGGGACGACGAUGACGGGCUGGUAGUGGCUGCUGUAGAGCUGCUGGAGGCAGCAAGCGCGGUGCCAGAAGUUGCUGGCACUGGUGACCCAGGGGCGUCACUGCUGGAUGAGAUGGCAGCCGUGGCACCACCAUUCGCUGGCAUGGCAGCGGAAGUGGUUGUCGCUGCAGCUGAGUCAGGUGACCCAGGGGCAUCACUGGGAGAGGUGUCUGCCGUGGCACCACCAUUAGCUGCCAUGGCAGCGGAAGUGGCUGCCGCGGCAGGCGAGCUGAGUGGCCCUGGUGAAGUGGCAACAGCCGUGGCUGGACUGCCGGCGGCCCGCGUAGCGGCCGGCAUGCCACGACGUCGAGCGGCCGGUGGGGCGGGCACCACAACAUGUUCAGGCUGAGAAGGCCCAACCAGUGGUGAGGGAGACUCCUGCUGCAUGUUCCUGAAAGGGAAAACACACUCGUCGAAAACAACAUGGCAUGAUGUUAGCACACGGCGACCGGCCAGAUCAUAGCAGCGGUAUCCACGGUGAUCAGGAGGGUAUCCGAAGAAAACACAAGCGACGGAGCGGGGUGAAAGUUUAUGAGGAGCAGUGGCAGUGGUGUUGGGAUAGCAUAGGCAUCCAAAAACGCGAAGAUGAGAGUAGUCUGGUGGGGAACCAAAGAGAAGUUGAUGGGGCGGAAGAUUGUUGCGUGGACGACAAGGUCGGAAAUUGAGAAGAUAGGUCGCGGUAUUGAGUGCUUCAGCCCAAAACCUAGGGGGCAUAUGAGCAUGAAAUAAUAGAGUACGCACACUAUCAUUCAAGGUGCGAAGUAUGCGUUCGGCGCGACCGUUUUAUUGCGAGGUGUAUGGGCAUGUGAGACGAAGGUGAAUGCCGUGUUGUGCAAAGAAGUCACGUGAAGCAUGGUUAUCAAAUUCACGACCAUUGUCGGUUUGAAAAGCUAAGAUGUAGCGCUGAAAUUGGGUGGCGACAAAGGCUUGAAAGCGAGAGAUAAUGGGAAACACAUCUGAUUUACGACGCAAAGGAAAAGUCCAAACAUAAUGAGAGUAGUCAUCUAGCACACACCGGUACUAAAGGCCCCCCCUUUAGUACCGGUUUGUGCCACGACCCGGUACUAAAGGGGGUGUGCUGGCGCAGGUGCGGUGCGGCAACUUUAGUCCCACCUCGCUAGCCGAGGGGCGACCGCACUGGUUUAUAAACCCCCAUGCGGUCGCUCUCUCGAGCUCCUCUCCAAAGCAGGCUUACUGGGCCUACGUGUUCUUUGCAGCCCUGUGGGCCCACUUGGCCUUUGCGGGCCUGCAUCCUGGCCCAACGACAGGUUGGGUUUCUAGUCGUACGCAGGCCGCUCUGGCCUAGUAAGCGGGCUAAUUUUAUUUUAUUUUUUGCUUUAUUUAUUUUUGUGUUGUUUUUUUUGUGUAUUUAGAGUUUCUUUGUGAACAUUUUUGUUUUAGGUACAAAAAAUUACAAACUUUCUGUUAGGGUUUUUUCAUUAUUUUUUUGCUUUAUUUAUUUUUGUGUUUUUUUUGUGUAUUUAGAGUUUCUUUGUGAACAUUUUUGUUUUAGGUACAAAAAAUUACAAACUUUCUGUUAGUGCCCGUAGUUUUCAAAUUUGAAUAGUUUAAAUUUUGAAUUAUUUGAAAUUAGUGUGAAUCACUAGUUUGUGAAUAACUUAACUUUAAAAAUCAGUAAAGGCAUGAAAGAAUUUGUUUGCACAUAAAAUUUCUUCGCGUUUCAAAUGCCAAAACACAUAACUACCAUAACUAUUAUAGAGAUUCCCCUCUCGGUGCGAAACACAGAAGAAAGUGAUGAUAGCUAGUGAAGCCGAUCACAUCCCAGAUCUUUGGGUGUGAAACUUUUUCUUCGCGUGUGUCCCUUUGCGCCGUAACCAUGGAAAAUCUUCAUCACUUAACGGGAUGCUCGGGUCAAUAUUCACUGUGAAUGGAGCAAUUUCAUCAAACUUUUCAUAAUCUUCUGACUUGUCUGUCUUGUCAUCCACUCCCACGAUGUUUCUCUUCCCAGAAAGAACUAUGUGCCGCUUUGGCUCAUCGUACGAUGCAUUCGCUUCCUUAUCUUUUCUUUUUCUUGGCUUGGUAGACAUGUCCUUCACAUAGAAAACCUGUGCCACAUCAUUGGCUAGGACGAAUGGUUCUUCUGCAUACGCAAGAUUGUUGAGAUCCACUGCUGUCAUUCCGUACUGCGGGUCUUCCGUUACCCCGCCUCGUGUCAUAUUGACCCAUUUGCACCGAAACAAAGGGACCUUUAAACCACGUCGAUAGUCAAGUUCCCAUAUGUCCUGUAUAUAACCAUAAUAUGUUUCCUUUCCCGUCUUGGUUUCUGCAUCAAAGUGGACACCACUGUUUUGGUUGGUGCUCUUCUUAUCUUGGGCGAUCGUGUAAAAUGUAUUACCAUUUAUCCCGUACCCUUUGAAAGUCAUUAUAUUCGAAGAUGAUAACUGGGACAGCAAGUACAAGUCAUCUUCAAUAGAUGUGUCAUGCAUGGUACGUGUCUGCAACCAGCUGGCGAAACUCCUGGUUUGUUCACGUGUAAUCCAGUCAUCAGACCGCUCCGAGUGUUUGGAGCGUAGCAAAUUCUUGUGUUCAUCCAUAUACGGAGCCACCAAGGCGGAAUUCUGUAGAACUGUGUAGUGUGCUUCAGUGAGAGAAUGUCCGUCCAUACAUAUUAUUUGUUCCCCUCCUAGCGUGCCUUUUCCAUCCAGUCUGCCCUUAUGCCGCGAUUCAGGAACACCAAUCGGAUUAAGGUCAGGAAUAAAGUCAAUACAAAACUCAAUGACCUCCUCAUUUUGAUGGCCCUUGGAGAUGCUUCCUUCUGGCCUAGCACGAUUAUGAACAUAUUUCUUUAAGACUCCCAUGAACCUCUCAAAGGGGAACAUAUUGUGUAGAAAUACAGGACCCAAAACGUUAAUCUCUUGGCACAGGUGAACUAGGACGUGUGUCAUGAUGUUGAAGAAGGAUGGUGGGAACACCAACUCGAAACUGACAAGACAUUGCACCAAAUCAUUCUAUAACCUUGGUAUGAUUUCUGGAUCGAUUACCUUCUGAGAGAUUGCAUUGAGAAAUGCACAUAGCUUCACAAUGGCUAAUCGAACGUUUUCCGGUAGAAGCCCCCUCAAUGCAACCGGAAGCAGUUGCGUCAUAAUCACGUGGCAGUCAUGAGACUUUAGGUUCUGGAACUUUUUCUCUGCCAUGUUUAUUAUUCCCUUUAUAUUCGACGAGAAGCCAGACGGUACCUUAAUACUGAGCAGGCAUUCAAAGAAGAUUUCCUUCUCUUCUUUGGUAAGAGCGUAGCUUGCAUGACCCUGAUGUAUGCCGUCUUCUCCGUGCAUACGUUGCUGGUCCUCCCGUGCCUCAGGUGUAUCUUUUAUCUUCCCAUACACGCCUAAGAAGCCAAGCAGGGUCACGCAAAGAUUCUUCGUCACGUGCAUCACGUCGAUUGUGGAGCGGACCUCUAGGUCUUUCCAAUAUGGCAGGUCCCAAAAUAUAGAUUUCUUCUUCCACAUGGGUGCGCGUCCGUCAGCGUCCUUUGGAACAGAUUGUCCGCCAGGACCCUUUCCAAAUAUCACCUUCAAAUCCUUGACCAUAUCAUGUACAUCAGCACCAGUACGGUGGCGAGGCUUCGUCCGGUGAUCCGCCUCACCUUUGAAAUGCUUGCCUUUCUUUCUUACGGGAUGCCUGCUCGGAAGAAAUCGACGAUGUCCCAGGUACACAUUCUUCUUACAACUAUUUAAAUAUAUACUGUCGGUAUCAUUCAAACAGUGCAUGCAUCCGUGGUAUCCCUUGUUUGUCUGUCCUGAAAGGUUACUGAGAGCAGGCCAAUAAUUGAUGGUCACGAACAGCAAUGGCUUUAGGUCAAAUUCUUCCUGUUUGUGCUCAUCCCAUGCACGUACACCUGUUCCAUUCCACAGUUGUAAGAGUUCUUCAACUAAUGGCCUUAGAUACACAUCAAUGUCGUUGCCGGGUUGUUUAGGGCCUUGGAUGAGCACUGGCAUCAUAAUGAACUUCCGCUUCAUGCACAACCAAGGAGGAAGGUUAUACAAACAUAGAGUCACAGGCCAGGUGCUAUGGUUGCUGCUCUGCUCCCCAAAAGGAUUAAUGCCAUCUGCGCUUAGACCAAACCAUACGCUCCUUGCGUCAUCUGCAAACUCCUUCCCGUACUUUUUUUCGAUUUUUCUCCACUGCGACCCGUCAGCGGGUACUCUCAACUUUCCGUCUUUCUUACGGUCUUCUCUGUGCCAUCGCAUCGCCUUGGCAUGCUCUUUGUUUUGGAACAAACGUUUCAACUGUGGUAUUAUAGGAGAAUACCACAUCACCUUGGCAGGAAUCUUCUUCCUGGGGCGCUCGCCCUCGACAUCACCAUGUUCAUCGCAGCUGAUCUUAUAGCGCAAUGCACCACAUACUGGGCAAGCGUUCAAAUCCUCGUACUCACCGCGGUAGAGGAUGCAAUCAUUAGGGCAUGCAUGUAUCCUCUACACCUCUAACCCUAGAGGGCAGACAUCCUUCUUUGCUUCGUACGUACUCUCGGUCAAUUCGUUGUCCUUUGGAAGCAUAUCCUUAAUCAUUACCAACAACUUUCCAAAUCCCUUGUCAGAUACACCAUUCUCUGCCUUCCAUUGCAGCAAUUCCAGUGUGGUGCCCAGCUUUUUCUUGUCACCUACGCAAUUCGGGUACAACAAUUUUUUGUGAUCCUCUAACAUGCGCUGCAACUUCUUCUCCAAAUCACUUGCGCAGUUUCUCUUUGCAUUGGCAAUGGCCCGACCUAGAUCAUCAACGGGCUCAUCUGAUGCCUCUUCUUCAGCUUCUUCCCGCAUUGUCGGCUUAGCUUCUUCCCGCAUUACCGGCUCAGCUUCUUCCCCCAUUGUUGUAUCAUCGUAUUCAGGGAACCCAUGGCCAGGAUAGCUGUCGUCGUCCUCUUCCUCUUCAUUGUCUUCCAUCAUAACCCCUCUUUCUCCGUGCUUGGUCCAAACAUUAUAGUGGGGCAUGAAACCGGACUCAAACAGGUGAUGUGAAUGGUUCUUGACGUAGAGUCAUUGCAACCAUUCUUACAGCCAGCACAUGGACAAGGCAUAAAACCAUCCGCCCGCUUGUUUGCCUCAGCCGCAAGCAAAAAAGUAUGCACGCCCUCAACGAACUGGGGAGAGCAUCGGUCAUCGUACAUCCAUUGCCGGCUCAUCUUCAUUACACAACACCGAAUAGACCAAAUUAAUACAAGGUCAUACAUAAAGUUCAUACAACACUUAAAUGCAACAAACAAAUAACUCUCUAGCUAAAGCAUUUAAAUGCAACAACAAAUGCGAUCAAGAUCGCAACUAAGGUAAGAAUUGAUCCAACAGCAUAAUGAUACCAAGACUCACUAUCGAUGGCAUAUUUUCUAAUCUUUUUAAUCUUCAAGCGCAUUUUCUCCUUCUUGAUCUUGUGAUCAUCGACGACAUCGGCAACAUGCAACUCCAAUUCCAUCUUCUCCCCCUCAAUUCUUUUCAAUUUUUCUUUCAAGUACUUGUUUUCUCUUUCAACUAAAUUUAACCUCUCGACAAUAGGGUCGCUUGGAAUUUCCGGUUCACAUACCUCCUAGAUAAAAAUAUCUAUGUCAACUUGAUGGGCAUAAUUUGUCAUAAACACGAAAUGCAACAAAUAGUUUUAAAAGAGAAUAUACCACAUCCGAAUCAUAAAAAGGACGAGGGCCGACGGGGACGGAUAUCAAAACCAUGGCACUAUGUAUAACAAACAACGUACGGGUAAGAUAAUUAUUAUACGAGUAACUAUAUAUCCAAAUCACACAAACAUCAAUUUUUUAUAUAAAAUUUCAUGAACAAGAGGCUCACCACAAGGUGGUGCCGGCGACGGGACGGUGCGGGCGAUCGACGGUGGUUACGACGGAGAUUUAGAAGGCACUAAGUAAACCACACCUACAUAUGCAAACUAAGUGUUAUUUUAACCUCAAAUUGCAUAUAAAUCAAAUACUAGCACAUAUAUAUAUAUUUCCUCCCAAAUUAAUAACUAUAUAAAGCAUUGCAAGAGCUAAUAUAGCAAUGAGAGAUGAAAGGACAAAGUUGCUAACCUUUGUGAUCAUUUGAAUGGAUGGGGGCCUUCAAAUGUUGACAAAUUUUGGGCAAAAUGUGUGAUGAGCUCGAGAGGAAGAGGGGAAGAACAGAGAGGAGAGGGGAAAGGGGAAGAACAGAGCGAGCUCGGGUGGACGAAGGGUUUAUGUAGGACGACCUUUAGUACCGGUUCGUGCCAAGAACCGGUACUAAAGGUGCUGGAGGGGGCCCAGACUGACAACAUCCUGCCACCACUCUCAUUAGUACCGGUUCGUGGCACGAACCAAUGCUAAAGGUUAGCCACGAACCGGUACUAAUGAGAGCGGCCCGACUAGCCGUUGGAACCAGCACUAAUGUAUACAUUUGUGCCGGCUCAAAUACAAACCGGCACUAAUGUGCUUCACGUUUGACCCUUUUUCUACUAGUGUGAGUACAAUGUCAUCAACAUAAAGGAGCAAGUAAGCCAUGUCGGAGCCACGACGGAGCACAAAGAGCGAGGUGUCUGAAAGAGCCGCAGUGAAACCAAGGUGCCGAAGAAAAUCACCAAUGCGUGUGUACCAGGCGCGUGGGGCCUGUUUCAAUCCAUAAAGUGACUUGGACAGUAGGCAAACAUGCUCGGGAUGGUCAGCAUCGAUAAAACCCGUCGGUUGAGCACAAUAAACACGCUCAUGCAAAACUCCAUGAAGAAACGCAUUGGAUACGUCCAGCUGACGUACCGGCCAAUGUCGAGAAGCAGCAAGAUGCAAAACUGUGCGAAUUGUGGCUGGUUUGACGACAGGACUGAAAGUCUCACCAAAAUCAAUGCCGGCACGCUGUGUGAAUCCUCGAACGACCCAACGAGCUUUAUAGCGAUCCAAGGAACCAUCAGGUUUGAGUUUAUGUCGAAAGACCCAUUUACCGGUGACGAUGUUGGCACCCCGAGGUCGAGGGACAAGAGUCCAUGUGUGAUUAGCUUGGAGAGCAUCAUACUCCUCUCGCAUGGCAGAAUGCCAUGCGGGAUCACGAAGUGCCGCACGGGCAGACGUCGGUAGCGGCGAGAGCACAAUAGUAGCCGUAUGAGCAUCCUCAAAACGCCUGUUAGGCUGAAGAACGCCAUGACGCGCACGUGUAGUCAUCGUGUGGAUUGGCACAUCAGAGGGACGGAGCCAUGGAGCAGCACGUGGGGGUACCACCGAAGCUGGCGGCGGCAUAGGUGCGGCAAGCUCAAUGGCAGGGCCGGAGGACACCACAGGGGACGACGAUGACGGGCUGGUAGUGGCUGCUGUAGAGCUGUUGGAGGCAGCAACCGCGGUGCCAGAAGUUGCUGGCACUGGUGACCCAGGGGCGUCACUGCUGGAUGAGAUGGCAGCCGUGGCACCACCAUUCGCUGGCAUGGCAGCGGAAGUGGUUGUCGCUGCAGCUGAGUCAGGUGACCCAGGGGCAUCACUGGGAGAGGUGUCUGCCGUGGCACCACCAUUAGCUGCCAUGGCAGCGGAAGUGGCUGCCGCGGCAGGCGAGCUGAGUGGCCCUGGUGAAGUGGCAACAGCCGUGGCUGGACUGCCGGCGGCCCGCGUAGCGGCCGGCAUGCCACGACGUCGAGCGGCCGGUGGGGCGGGCACCACAACAUGUUCAGGCUGAGAAGGCCCAACCAGUGGUGAGGGAGACUCCUGCUGCAUGUUCCUGAAAGGGAAAACACACUCGUCGAAAACAACAUGGCAUGAUGUUAGCACACGGCGACUGGCCAGAUCAUAGCAGCGGUAUCCACGGUGAUCAGGAGGGUAUCCGAAGAAAACACAAGCGACGGAGCGGGGUGAAAGUUUAUGAGGAGCAGUGGCAGUGGUGUUGGGAUAGCAUAGGCAUCCAAAAACGCGAAGAUGAGAGUAGUCUGGUGGGGAACCAAAGAGAAGUUGAUGGGGCGGAAGAUUGUUGCGUGGACGACAAGGUCGGAAAUUGAGAAGAUAGGUCGCGGUAUUGAGUGCUUCAGCCCAAAACCUAGGGGGCAUAUGAGCAUGAAAUAAUAGAGUACGCACACUAUCAUUCAAGGUGCGAAGUAUGCGUUCGGCGCGACCGUUUUAUUGCGAGGUGUAUGGGCAUGUGAGACGAAGGUGAAUGCCGUGUUGUGCAAAGAAGUCACGUGAAGCAUGGUUAUCAAAUUCACGACCAUUGUCGGUUUGAAAAGCUAAGAUGUAGCGCUGAAAUUGGGUGGCGACAAAGGCAUGAAAGCGAGAGAUAAUGGGAAACACAUCUGAUUUACGACGCAAAGGAAAAGUCCAAACAUAAUGAGAGUAGUCAUCUAGCAUAACAAGAUAAUAUUGAAAACCCGAAACACUUGUGAUAGGAGAUGUCCAAACAUCGCAAUGGACAAGAGCAAAAGGAAAACUAGCUUGACUGUCGGACUGUUUAAAAGGUAAACGAACGUGCUUCCCCAAUCUACAAGCAUGACACGUUGUAGGAGGUGAUUUAUUACAAGUAAAAUCAAAAGAAGAAAGUGUCCUAGAGAGAGCAUCAUGUCCUGGGUGACCAAGGCGUUGGUGCCAAAGGUCAGUGGGGCCGGCAAGAAGUGCUUGAGGUCCAGUGAUGAGAGGGUAGAGGUCGCCGGAACUAUCACAUCGGAGAAUCACCGCACGGGUACGACGAUCCUUGACAGAAAAACCAAGCUCAUCAAAUUCAACAUUAACAGGAUUUGUACGAGUUAAAUGACGAACAAAAAUUAGGUUUUUAAUGAGAUUAGGAGUGACAACUACAUCACGUAAUGAAAGUGGAAAAGAUGAGGUAGGAAGAGAAGCGGUGCCGGUUUGAGUAAUAGGAAGAGAGUUUCCGUUUCCGAAGAUGACAGAAGAAAAAGUGGAGGAAGGGGAGAAGGAAGAUAGGAUAUCGGGAUCGCUGGCCAUGUGCGCAGUCGCGCCUGUGUCAAAAAACCAGUUGGAGCCACCACCACUAGCGGCACCCUGCUGCAAGGAGAGGUUGUUGAGGGCGGCGUGGAGCUGUGUUUGAUCCCAUGCAGGGGCCUGGUGUGGUGGAGGUGACGGAGUGUAGCCGUUGUAGCCCGGUGGAGCGCCGUAGCCCGGCUGCCCUAGAUGGGCAGUGUAGGCCUGGGGCGUGGAGACGCCGGGGUGUGGGCCGAGAAGACCGGUGCCAGGAGCACGCCAGUUGGGUGGCCAUGCCUGGAACAUGCCAGACAGUGGAUAGCUGCCGAUGGGCUAGAAGGGCGCGGCAUGGUCGCGCACAUUGGGAGCACUGGGGGCGCCAUGAGGAGCGCCAUGGCCCUGCUGUUGCUGCUGCUUCUUGCGGCCCUUGCCCCGGCCGCGACCACCAGACGAGGGAGCAGCAGGUGGUGUAGGCACGGCGGGACGGGGAGCCGGCGAAGCCAGCGAUGCAGGCGUGGGGGAGAAACGGUUGGCGACGAGGGCAGUCGCCUGGACAUGCUGAGUAUGGCGUGCAAGACGCCGUUCCUCCUGCAAAAGAGCACCGCGAGCACAGGCGAAGGUUAGUCCAGCGGGGUUGAUGGUGAGGGCAGCGAUGCAGUGGCCGAACUCGCCGUUCAACCCGUUGAUGAAGGUGGUGAGCAUGUCCUGGUCCGUGACCGGAGUGCCCACGUCACGAAGUGUGUCGGAGAGACACUUGAGGCGGCUCGCGAAGGCGGUGACGGAGAGAUCGCCCUGGACGAGGUUGAGGAAGUCACGCUUGGCGAAGAUGGAGCGCUGAAGACGAUUGUCGCGGAAGAGGUCGGUGAUGACGGUCCAAGCGUUGGCGGCGGUGUCGGAGGGCUUGAUGAUGAUCUCGAGAAUAUCCUUGGAGACAGUGGUGUAUAGCCAAGAGACGAUGCAUUGGUCGAUCUGGGUCCACUCGACGUCGCCGAGAGCCAUGAGGGCGUCAACGGAGCCAUCGAUAUGAUCAAGAAGACCGAGCUUGCGGAAGGUGAGAUUGAAGAAGGUCUGCCAUAUGCAAAAGUUAGACUCGUCGAAGUCAAGGAUGACGGUGACGUGGUUGCGGAUGUUGAUGAGCUGGAUGGCGGCGGCGCUAGGAGCAGCAGGGUUGACGGAGCUAGCGGCGAAGGGGUUGGACCCGGAGGAGGCGAGGGAGGAGUUGGGGGAGGAGGCGAAGUCGCCGAACUCUUCCAUGGCAGCAGCAGCGUGGAAGGGCUAGCGGCUGGGGUCUAGGGUUCAGCGGCGGCUGAGGUGUAGCGGAAGCAAGGCUCAGGAACUAGAGAAAACUGAUACCAUGUAAACUAGAGGAAUUUGAAGAAUAUUGUAUGCAUGUAUUACAGCCCAUAGGGCGCAUAUAUAUAGAGCUACAGAGCAAUCCUAUACUUGUCCUCCAAGAGCUAAUCCUAGUUAAAAGGAAAGGAUAGAUAUGGAGGUAGAGAUAGGAAGCUAAAGAUUACAUCACGUAUAUAUGCUAAUACAUGCUAACUUAUUCUUACAGACCGCAAUCAUACGCGCUCAAGACAAUAGUGGAGCGGAAGCGAUCAUUACUUUAGUGAUUUAGAAAGGGGAGUAUUACUUUACAGAGGGAGUACAUUGUAGUACUGUAGUAAUUUGGUUUUUCUUUGCAAUAUUUAGAGCAUAGAGAUAAUCUAGAGCAUUCUGGAGGGGAAUUAACCGGUAUGAAAUACUGAUGCAUAUAUAUAUUUUUCUGGCGUAAUUUGCUUCUAGGAUGCAGCAACCAUUUGAGAAAAUUUGAUACUUCCUCUGUCCUUAAUUAUUUGUCAGAUAAAUGGAUGUGAGGCGAACAAGGGUCCUCAAAAAGAUUUUUCUCCAAUUUCAAGAUAAUUUGCCAAACCGUCGAGAGCCAGGACGUGCAUCCAGUAGCAACUUUAACAUUGUCUACGCAUGAAACAAACCACCAAGAACAAGAGCAAAAGAGCCAGCUUCAUCUAUCACCACCAAGAACAAGAGCAAAAGAACCAGCUUCAUCUAUCUACCACUACAUCGUAGAGACAAACCCAGCUGGAUGAUCAACAUCUCAGGUGUAAGAAGAGAACAAGAGCUUCACAAUUCUGCAUCCAGUAUCCACUAUCACUACGUGUUGUAGAUCACCUAUGCAUGUACCAACUAGAUGUACCCUUUGUUGAUCACCUAUGCAUGUAUCAACUACAUGUACCCUAUCCUUGUAUGAACUACUUUGCUAUGUUCAAGUUUUGGGAGGACUUACCUGAUAUUUAGAAAAACUAAAUAGCUUAUUGAUCUACGUGGCGCGGCGUGCCGCCGCGC